This 465-nucleotide ribosomal RNA is filed under the name uncultured Klebsiella sp. RNAcentral's name for it is "bacterial SSU rRNA". It matches the Rfam family "Bacterial small subunit ribosomal RNA", at positions 338 to 795 of the family's 1533-position model. Lineage: Bacteria; Pseudomonadati; Pseudomonadota; Gammaproteobacteria; Enterobacterales; Enterobacteriaceae. The record is from RNAcentral.
CCUACGGGGGGCUGCAGUGGGGAAUAUUGCGCAAUGGGCGCAAGCCUGAUGCAGCCAUGCCGCGUGUGUGAAGAAGGCCUUCGGGUUGUAAAGCACUUUCAGCGGGGAGGAGGGCGUUAAGGUUAAUAACCUUGGCGAUUGACGUUACCCGCAGAAGAAGCACCGGCUAACUCCGUGCCAGCAGCCGCGGUAAUACGGAGGGUGCAAGCGUUAAUCGGAAUUACUGGGCGUAAAGCGCACGCAGGCGGUCUGUCAAGUCGGAUGUGAAAUCCCCGGGCUCAACCUGGGAACUGCAUUCGAAACUGGCAGGCUAGAGUCUUGUAGAGGGGGGUAGAAUUCCAGGUGUAGCGGUGAAAUGCGUAGAGAUCUGGGGGAAUACCGGUGGCGAAGGCGGCCCCCUGGACAAAGACUGACGCUCAGGUGCGAAAGCGUGGGGAGCAAACAGGAUUAGAUACCCGAGUAGUC